RNAcentral lists this ribosomal RNA (929 nucleotides) under Phanerochaete granulata. RNAcentral describes it as "partial large subunit ribosomal RNA". It matches the Rfam family "Eukaryotic large subunit ribosomal RNA", at positions 45 to 960 of the family's 3401-position model. The record is from RNAcentral. Lineage: Eukaryota; Fungi; Basidiomycota; Agaricomycetes; Polyporales; Phanerochaetaceae.
AAUAAGCGGAGGAAAAGAAACUAACAAGGAUUCCCCUAGUAACUGCGAGUGAAGCGGGAAAAGCUCAAAUUUAAAAUCUGACAGUCUUUGGUUGUCCGAGUUGUAAUCUGGAGAAGCGUCUUCUGUUCUGGACCGUGUACAAGUCUCCUGGAACGGAGCGUCAUAGAGGGUGAGAAUCCCGUCUUUGACACGGACUACCAGUGCUCUGUGAUGCGCUCUCAAAGAGUCGAGUUGUUUGGGAAUGCAGCUCAAAAUGGGUGGUAAACUCCAUCUAAAGCUAAAUAUUGGCGAGAGACCGAUAGCGAACAAGUACCGUGAGGGAAAGAUGAAAAGCACUUUGGAAAGAGAGUUAAACAGUACGUGAAAUUGCUGAAAGGGAAACGCUUGAAGUCAGUCGCGUUUGUUAGGACUCAGCCUUGCCUCGGCUUGGUGCACUUCCUAGUAGACGGGCCAGCAUCACUUUUGACUGCGGGAAAAAGAUCAGAGGAAUGUGGCACCUUCGGGUGUGUUAUAGCCUCUGGUUGUAUACCGUGGCUGGGAGUGAGGAACUCAGCACGCCUUUAUGGCGGGGCUUCGGCCACCUUCGUGCUUAGGAUGCUGGCGUAAUGGCUUUAAGCGACCCGUCUUGAAACACGGACCAAGGAGUCUAACAUGCCUGCGAGUGUUUGGGUGGAAAACCCGAGCGCAUAAUGAAAGUGAAAGUUGGGACCUCUGUUGUGGAGGGCACCGACGCCCGGACCAGACCUUCUGUGACGGAUCCGCGGUAGAGCAUGUAUGUUGGGACCCGAAAGAUGGUGAACUAUGCCUGAAUAGGGUGAAGCCAGAGGAAACUCUGGUGGAGGCUCGUAGCGAUUCUGACGUGCAAAUCGAUCGUCAAAUUUGGGUAUAGGGGCGAAAGACUAAUCGAACCAUCUAGUAGCUGGUUCCUG